UCUGACUGCAGAGAGGAUGACAGAGAACAGUGGACACACAGUUUAACAUGAUGGACUAUAGGACAGGACUGCUGCUUUUAACUCUCUGCUGGGCAGGUGUUGAUGGUCAGACUCUGACAGAAUCUGAACCAGUGGUUAAAAGGCCUGGAGAAUCCCACAGACUGACCUGUACAGGAUCUGGAUUCACAUUCAGUAGCCACUUGAUGGGUUGGGUCAGACAGGCUCCUGGAAAAGGACUGGAGUGGGUUGCCACCAUUGAUGUUACUAGCAUUUACUACUCUCAGUCAGUCAAAGGCCGAUUUACCAUCUCCAGAGACAACAGCAGACAGCAGGUGUAUCUGCAGAUGAACAGUCUGAAGACUGAAGAUUCUGCUGUUUAUUAUUGUGCUCGGCACACACAGUGAUUGGAGUAGGUUGAGCAGCUGUACAAAAAUCUUCAGUACUCAGUCUUACUGAUAGACCCACAGUGAUCAUAUAUUUAUUUUGUCUUUGUCACUGUUAUCUUUUAAUGAACACC
This is a non-coding RNA of Lates calcarifer (barramundi perch), 517 nucleotides long. The record is from the annotation of a RefSeq genome assembly. NCBI's taxonomy places the organism in Eukaryota, Metazoa, Chordata, Actinopteri, Centropomidae.